Molecule: non-coding RNA, 46 nt
Filed under: Cinara cedri
Lineage: Eukaryota; Metazoa; Arthropoda; Insecta; Hemiptera; Aphididae
Rfam family: Histone 3' UTR stem-loop
About the family: The mRNAs of metazoan histone genes lack a poly-A tail.
Source: RNAcentral
AAAACGGCCCUUUUCAGGGCCAACAAUACUGAAUCCAACCUUUUUU